This is a non-coding RNA of Zea mays, 109 nucleotides long. The record is from Rfam. Lineage: Eukaryota; Viridiplantae; Streptophyta; Magnoliopsida; Poales; Poaceae.
ACUCUAGUAUUGACCUCAAUCCACAUGUGUUGAUGUAGAUUGGAGUGUAAAUUAGUUUAAGUUACACCCCAAUCCACAUCAAUACAUGUGGAUUGAGGUCAAUAAUAGA